Molecule: ribosomal RNA, 442 nt
Filed under: uncultured bacterium
Lineage: Bacteria
Description: bacterial SSU rRNA
Rfam family: Bacterial small subunit ribosomal RNA
Source: RNAcentral
AGCGAACGCUGGCGGCAUGCUUAACACAUGCAAGUCGCACGGGCAGUAGCAAUACUGGUCAGUGGCGGACGGGUGAGUAACGCGUAGGAAUCUAUCCUUGGAAUGGGGGACAACCGUGGGAAACUACGGCUAAUACCGCAUGAUGCCUGAGGGCCAAAGACGAAAGUCGUUUGAGGAGGAGCCUGCGUCUGAUUAGGUAGUUGGUGGGGUAAAGGCCUACCAAGCCCUACGAUCAGUAGCUGGUCUGAGAGGAUGAUCAGCCACAUUGGGACUGAGACACGGCCCAAACUCCUACGGGAGGCAGCAGUGGGGAAUAUUGGACAAUGGGCGCAAGCCUGAUCCAGCAAUGCCGCGUGGGUGAAGAAGGUCUUCGGAUUGUAAAGCCCUUUUGGCGGGGACGAUGAUGACGGUACCCGCAGAAUAAGCUCCGGCUAACUUCGUG